Molecule: long non-coding RNA, 288 nt
Organism: Labeo rohita (rohu)
Lineage: Eukaryota; Metazoa; Chordata; Actinopteri; Cypriniformes; Cyprinidae
Exons: 3
Source: RefSeq, a predicted model, not a curated record
CAAUUCAAGCUGGAGAAACUAGAGUUAAGCUGCUGUGAAAUGACAGAUGAAGGUUGUUCUGCUGUGACUUCAGCUCUGAAAUCAAACCCAUCACACCUGAGAGAACUGAACCUGAGUGGAAUAAACUAGGAGACUCUGGAGUGAAAAACCUCAGUGAUCUACUGAUGAACACACAAUUCAAGCUGGAGAAACUAGAUCUGUGGGAUUGCAGUAUUACAGAGAAACAGUGUCUCAUCCUGACUUCAGCUCUGAAAUCAAACCCAUCACACCUGAGAGAACUGAACCUGA